UAAUGGUGGGAACUCCAGGGAGACUGCCGGUGAUAAACCGGAGGAAGGUGGGGACGACGUCAAGUCAUCAUGGCCCUUACGAGUAGGGCUACACACGUGCUACAAUGGCAGAUACAGAGGGCAGCGAAGCUGCGAAGUGGAGCGAAUCCCUUAAAGUCUGUCGUAGUCCGGAUUGGAGUCUGCAACUCGACUCCAUGAAGUCGGAAUCGCUAGUAAUCGUGGAUCAGAAUGCCACGGUGAAUACGUUCCCGGGCCUUGUACACACCGCCCGUCACACCAUGGGAGUGGGCUGCACCAGAAGUAGAUAGCUUAACCUUCGGGAGGGCGUUUACCACGGUGUGGUUCAUGACUGGGGUGAAGUCGUAACAAGGUAGCCCUAGGGGAACCUGGGGCUGGAUCACCUCCUUACU
RNAcentral lists this ribosomal RNA (410 nucleotides) under Salinivibrio kushneri. RNAcentral's name for it is "bacterial SSU rRNA". It matches the Rfam family "Bacterial small subunit ribosomal RNA", at positions 1126 to 1533 of the family's 1533-position model. Lineage: Bacteria; Pseudomonadati; Pseudomonadota; Gammaproteobacteria; Vibrionales; Vibrionaceae. The record is from RNAcentral.